Monodelphis domestica (gray short-tailed opossum) is the source of this 1932-nucleotide long non-coding RNA. The record is from Ensembl. NCBI's taxonomy places the organism in Eukaryota, Metazoa, Chordata, Mammalia, Didelphimorphia, Didelphidae.
CUUUAAGUAAUCCAGUUCACAAAUUAGGUCAGAGGUCUUUGGAAGAUAUAAAAUUAAGAAUGCUUCUGCAUCAAUGUGAGUGAAUCAAUCAUCCUUAAAGGUGUACAGCUCUUUGAGGGAAAACCAUUCUCAGAAUUGGCAAUUUAACAUUGGCAUUAAUUGGUCUUCUUUCUGUGAGGCACAGUGCUUUAACAGACUUAUCUAGGAACUAAAGUAAUCUGCCCCCAGCCCUGUAUCUAUCUGGAAAUGAGAAGCUUCUUUCAAAAAAAUUGCUUGCCUUUUCUCUAGCAACACAAAUCUCCUCUUAUCUGUAUCCAUGAAAAUAUGCCAGUUAAUUCACAAAAGAGAAAGAAAAUAUACUUUCUUGAGAGAGCAUCAAUAUUAGAGAAACACAUUCAAGGGAUGAUUUAGGCUAUUUUUCUGAAUAAUUUAAUCAUCUGGCCAUAUGAGGCCUGUUUCAAAAUAAUAACCUCUUCACAAAUAAAGAGGUCCUGAAAUAAUCUAUGUGUAUCAUUCAUUCCACUCAAUUCUAUAAUUUUGUGGAUUUUGUGUAUAGUUCUAUGAUGAGGAAUCUGAUAAAUAAUACAAUGCUAGCAUGUUAGAGCUGGAAGAGACAUUAGAACUUAGAAUUUCAGAGCAUAGAAUGUUAGGGCGCUAGGGAUCUUCAAAUAGAAUGUUGGAGCUGAGGGAAAUCUUACACUUAGACUGCCAUAGCUGGAAUGGACCUUCAAAUAUAUAUUGUUGGAAUUGAAAAAGUUUCUUAAACAGUGUACUACUGUUAGUGCCAAAUGGGACUUAGAAAAUAAGACUUUAAGAUGGAGAUCAUAGAUAGAAUUAGAAGGAACUUUGAAAGAUACAAUGUGAAAACUGGAAGGGAUCUUAGAGAUGAGGUGGUACAGAAGAAAAAAAGUUUGGUUCUGAAAUCAGAGAGUAUGGGUUUCAAUUUCAUUUCUGAAACCUACUUUCUGACCUCAGAACACAGGAGGAAAAGCCCUAAUGCACCAUGAACGUUGAAUUGAUUUUGCACUGAUGUGUACUUCCAGUAUGAUGAUUGGUAUUUGUAAAAUAUAGAGUCUGUCCCCAAAUUGCUUACCUCAGUCACCUUCACAGAUCCUGGAAGUCAAAACCAGGGAAAAUGCUGAGAAGCCUAGGAAAAAGGGAAACAAAAGAAAGCAAAACAUAACAAUGACAAGAAUUACUCUGACAUCCACAGGAGGUGAGCAUUUUGCUCUCCUACACUCGGGAAAAAUGUUAUCUCAAUACAAAUAACAUAAUGCAGAGAAAGAACAUAUAUACAACAGAGAAAAUAAUGCCUCUUUCUACUGAUCCUUCAAUUACCUGGAGUGAGUCUCCAUUCUUGGGGAGUUAUCAUCAGGAAGCAUGGGAACAGUUCUAGCAAGCCAUUAUGCUGGUAAGUCAUUCAAUCUCCCCCAUUUCAAUUUUCCUGAAUGUAAAGGGCAUCUACUAGCUUGACAAGUUGCCUAUUUGUCUCAAUCAAAGACUUGUCUUUGAGAUUGAAAACAUUACAUGUAUACACUUGUAUUAUUUGUCUCUUAAAACAGCUACAGCAUGUUUUUAACCAAUGAGGACCAUUGCUCAUGGAGGGGAUAUGCCUCCCUGUAGUCCAGUGAAGUGAUUAACAGGCUUAGUUUUGUAGUUUAAAAAUGCACUAUGAAACUCCUCAUCACUGUCCUCUGCCAAAGUAAAUACUGACUUUUUAGAAACUUCACAGGUAAAAUGAUCACACACAUAUAUCCAUGCACACAAAUAUACCCUUAAGCUGAACCCAAAAGGAAAAGCCUUUUUUUAAUGUAAUGCCCACAAUAUUUGUCUAUGAGACUAUUAUUUUUCAAUGAAAUAGGAAAUUAAUAAUGAUUGAUAAACAGCUAUUAUCCUGUAUGAAAGGAUUAAUAGUGCAACUAAUUUUAGCAG